UACGUAGGUGGCGAGCGUUAUCCGGAUUUAUUGGGUUUAAAGAGAGCGUAAACGGCUGAUUAAGUCAGCAAUAAAAAAUAGCAGCUUAACUGUUUUACAUGCCGUUGAUACUGGUUAGCUUGAGUUGGCAGAAGGCAGAUAGAAUUCCUGGUGUAGCGGUAAAAUGCUUAAAUACCAGAAGGAAUACCGAUUGCGAAGGCAGUCUGCUGCAGUCACACUGACGCUGAGGCUCGAAGGUGCGGGGAUCAAACAGG
Molecule: ribosomal RNA, 254 nt
Filed under: uncultured bacterium
Lineage: Bacteria
Description: partial 16S ribosomal RNA
Rfam family: Bacterial small subunit ribosomal RNA
Source: RNAcentral